This 949-nucleotide ribosomal RNA is filed under the name Lactobacillus sp. Ammohmr1. RNAcentral's name for it is "bacterial SSU rRNA". It matches the Rfam family "Bacterial small subunit ribosomal RNA", at positions 52 to 971 of the family's 1533-position model. Lineage: Bacteria; Bacillati; Bacillota; Bacilli; Lactobacillales; Lactobacillaceae. The record is from RNAcentral.
UAAUGCAGUCGAGCGAGCAAUCUUAACGGAAUACUUCGGUAGGAAGUCAAGAGCGCGAGCGGCGGAUGGGUGAGUAACACGUGGGCAACCUGCCCUAUAGCUUGGGAUACCACUUGGAAACAGGUGCUAAUACCAAAUAAGCAGCAAGAGCGCAUGCUCAAGCUGGGAAAGGCGGCUUUAAAGCUGUCACUACAGGAUGGGCCCGCGGUGCAUUAGCUAGUUGGUAAGGUAACGGCCUACCAAGGCGAUGAUGCAUAGCCGAGUUGAGAGACUGACCGGCCACAUUGGGACUGAGACACGGCCCAAACUCCUACGGGAGGCAGCAGUAGGGAAUCUUCCACAAUGGACGCAAGUCUGAUGGAGCAACGCCGCGUGAGUGAAGAAGGUUUUCGGAUCGUAAAGCUCUGUUGUUGGUGAAGAAGGACAGGGGUAGUAACUGAUUCUUGUUUGACGGUAAUCAACCAGAAAGUCACGGCUAACUACGUGCCAGCAGCCGCGGUAAUACGUAGGUGGCAAGCGUUGUCCGGAUUUAUUGGGCGUAAAGCGAACGCAGGCGGGAGAAUAAGUCAGCUGUGAAAGCCCUCAGCUUAACUGGGGAACUGCAGCUGAAACUAUUUUUCUUGAGUGCAGAAGAGGAGAGUGGAACUCCAUGUGUAGCGGUGGAAUGCGUAGAUAUAUGGAAGAACACCAGUGGCGAAGGCGGCUCUCUGGUCUGUAACUGACGCUGAGGUUCGAAAGCAUGGGUAGCGAACAGGAUUAGAUACCCUGGUAGUCCAUGCCGUAAACGAUGAGUGCUAAGUGUUGGGAGGUUUCCGCCUCUCAGUGCUGCAGCUAACGCAUUAAGCACUCCGCCUGGGGAGUACGACCGCAAGGUUAAAACUCAAAGGAAUUGACGGGGCCCGCACAAGCGGUGGAGCAUGUGGUUUAAUUCGAAGCAACGCGAGAACCU